Molecule: non-coding RNA, 3123 nt
Organism: Drosophila melanogaster (fruit fly)
Lineage: Eukaryota; Metazoa; Arthropoda; Insecta; Diptera; Drosophilidae
Source: Ensembl
CGAAGUGCAAAGUCAUAUUGACAAUCGCCGGCCGCUCGAGCUGCAGAGUGCAUAAAGUCAGCCCUGCAGAUACAGAUACAGAGUCGUUGCACUUUUUAAAGUGUCGCACUCGAGCCUGAAAAAAAAAACACCUAAUAAGAAGUUGACUGAGACUGAGACUUUCGUCUUCAUUUGAACGCCAGAGUCGGAUUAACGCUUAGAACAGUCGGAGUUACAGUGGCACAAUUGUGCCCCAUUCCAACCACUGUGCUGCAUUGUGCAAAAUGGCGAAGAGUCUGACAUUGACAUGCUUGCAUGCUCCUGACUGAAGACAGAAGCUCCAACACCAGGGGAUGAGCAGAUGCCCCUCGUAAAGAACCGGGUGCAGCAGGGAUCAAGCUCAUGCCCCGCGUGGGCGAUGUCUGUGCGAGAUUCGAACUGAGACCGGGAUGGAAUAUGGAGGCUUCUUUGCUGGGGCCCUGGCCAAGCUCUAUUAAUAUCCGACUUCCUACAAUUUGGUGAAUGCGUAAAUUGUAUGUGAAAGGAAAGCGACUUUAAUGCGUCAUAAUUGAUUCACAAUGCGGAGGGCAAGGCGAUGGCUUGAUUUGAUUAACGCAGAAUGUAGCUCACGGAUACAUGCUCCCAUCUAUGUAGCUAUACACCGUAUAUAUUUAUAACGUAUAGACCACACACCCACUGCAAUUGCAGCUUGACUUACUGCCAAAUUAUUGAUUUUCGUGGCAUCUGCAGUGAGUUCAUGCCGCCAGUAAAUGUGUAUCUUUGUGGGCGGUUGACUUUGCCAUCGCUUUGGUGGAAGCCCUUCAAAGUUCUUUUUGCCUUAUUUUUCCAUCACAAUUAUCCGCUUAAAAUGCCAAAGCGGGCCAAAGCAGCAAUGGGCAAAGUAUCUUUAAGAUGCAAUUCAGUUUCGGGGGGGAAACUCGAGCCGGUUCGACAUAAUUGAACGCUGUCGCCGCGGACCCUCGAAAAUAAAUUUUCAAUUAAACGCCCAUCAAUGAUCCGACAGUUAGCUCGUACACAAUUGGUUUAUCUCACAGAUACGAAGAUGCUGCCGCGCUCUAAUGAAGAUGAUGCAGCGCAUUUUGUAGGCUGCACGAGUUGAAAUUAAGACAAAGUCAAGCGAGUCGCAGCCAGAUGGACAAAUGACCAGGAGAUGGGAGAAGUAUCUGACUGAUUCCUCGACAGCUGCCACGAAUCGAAAGGAGAAACUAUAAAAAUGAGGAAAACUAAGAGCGCGUGCCAAUGAACUCUGUGGUCAAAAGGAAAAGAAACCGAGUCAGAUACAUUUAAUAACUGACCGAUGCUUGGGGAUUGCACCGCCAAUGAUACUUAUGUUACCAAAUGCUAUAUUGUCUAUACCUCUAAUUUCCAAUAAGUGUCUCCUGAAAAAGCACAGAUGAAAAUGCAAUUUCUAUUUCGACAGUUUCCUGCAGUUUCUCAGUUUCUUGAGUCUCGAGGGAAAAUCAAUUCUUGAUUCGACAGCUGUCGCUGGAAAUUGAUCUGCUGCUGCAGCGAAAAGCUACAAAAGUAUCUCGUGGAUUCACAUUUGCAUCGCACUUUGUGUAGAGGGGGGGAUGUGAACCGAACCCAAGCCGAGUCAUUCAUUUGAUUGCCAACUCAUAUUUCCAAGGCGAGAGGGAUAAAAACGGAUAAGCUCGGUUCCUUUUUUUUUUUAUCACUUUUUCUUGGUUGGUGGUCCUCGCGAGUGUUUAAUUAAAGUUCUUCUCGCUGCGUGGGUGGCUGUUUUUUCUUCUCUGAUUUUUACUUGUAUUCUGAUAUUUAUAUUGCGCUGAAACCAUUUCCUUUCUGGACUUUGAGAAUCCAGCUUCAAUUUGAAUUUUCAUUUCGGAUGUGCGGCAAGUUCGAGGGGAAAAGCAACCGUUGUGAGCGCAUUUAAAUGUUAAUUUUGUUUGGCUACACGUGCACAAAAAAUAAAGUAAGUAAUACGACGGAGCUUAGAGUGCCAUGGUAGUCGAACACGCGAUACCCUGCUUUCACUUAAUCAUCUUGCUUAGCAGUUUAUCUUUCUGUAGGCCCAAUUAUAUUAAAUCAUGUUCUUAUAUGGUUUAGAUCCAGAGAUCGUUGGGAACUCUGUGUGUAACUUAUGUACAUUUAGCCAAAUCCAAUAUGCUCUUGGGUCGAAUGCGUAUACAAAUAAUAACAACUGAGGCCGACAAAGCUCCAAGAAUAUAGUGUUGAAUGUCAUUAGCGCUCUGUCGCCCAUGGGCACACUCUGUCCUGAGUUGGGGGAGUGAAAUCCAGUUAAGUCGAGAAAUAAAACCAAACAAAAAGUGGUCAUGGGAGCAGCAUGAUAGCAGAAGGGCGGGGUGGGGCCAAACACAUCCGUAAGUGGCCAAGUUGAUGACCGGAAACGGCAACAGUUAUACAUGUGAAGAAACACCUGAGGCUCGGCGAAGUAAACGUAGAACGAAUGUGGAAAACCGGGGAAAAGCUGGAAGUCUGGAGGGUUAGGGAAAAAAAGGCGGUACCUUUUCUAGCUCUUGGCGGAAUUGAUUGUCCACCCACACCGUGUCUCACAAUUGACGCAGCUGGGCACAGCUGCACUUUUCAAGCUGCCUCUCAAGUUCACGGCGAAAAAUUGGCAAUUCAAGCGCAAAGCUGUCAACUGUGAAAGGAAAAAACGAUGGAGAUAGCAAUGAUUUGAGAUGGUUUCACUGGGACGAGCAUACACGUGUAUUUUAAAGGGUUUGGUAUGCUAAAAUGUAUCUUAUUUUAGUAUCUUAUUUUAUUUUAAAUAAACAACAACAUAAAGAUAGAUAUAAUGCUGUCUUCUAGCAUUAUGAGUAAAGAAUAGAACUUAUGAUAUAAGAACCCUUAUUACGUUUGCUAAUACAAUACAACAAUUUGUGAAUAUCGUAAAAUAGUAAGAUGAAUUAAAUAUCUUACGAAUUACAAAUUUUUUCCCGUGUAAACUGGGCAUUUUAGCAAAUGGUUAGCAACAUGCGCAGAUAUCUUUUAGUUUCGUUGCAAAUCGCUGCAGAUGCGGCGUUUAAAAAUAGCCAACGUGUCACCAGCCGAGCAGUGAGUGCAGCAAAAGGGCAUGAAUAACUGAGUGCAACUGCAUCAAUGCGGCAAUGAGGCAGAUCCGAAUGCAACUGACAGGGC